AGCGAACGCUGGCGGCAGGCCUAACACAUGCAAGUCGAACGAACUCUUCGGAGUUAGUGGCGGACGGGUGAGUAACACGUGGGAACGUGCCUUUUGGUUCGGAAUAACUCAGGGAAACUUGUGCUAAUACCGAAUGUGCCCUUCGGGGGAAAGAUUUAUCGCCAUUAGAGCGGCCCGCGUCUGAUUAGCUAGUUGGUGAGGUAACGGCUCACCAAGGCGACGAUCAGUAGCUGGUCUGAGAGGAUGACCAGCCACACUGGGACUGAGACACGGCCCUGACUCCUACGGGAGGCAGCAGUGGGGAAUCUUGCGCAAUGGGCGAAAGCCUGACGCAGCCAUGCCGCGUGAAUGAUGAAGGUCUUAGGAUUGUAAAAUUCUUUCACCGGGGACGAUAAUGACGGUACCCGGAGAAGAAGCCCCGGCUAACUUCGUG
This 433-nucleotide ribosomal RNA is filed under the name uncultured bacterium. RNAcentral's name for it is "partial 16S ribosomal RNA". It matches the Rfam family "Bacterial small subunit ribosomal RNA", at positions 29 to 507 of the family's 1533-position model. The record is from RNAcentral.